CCGUUUUGAGGCGUUGGGGGGUUUCAAAACGCUGUCGUUUUGCAUAGCUAUUAAAGCCAAUUUUAUUUUUUAUUUUUUUCUUAAUUUCAACCCUCCCUUUUUAAUUUCUCUUCUCUGCUAGGGUUUAUAAAACCCAUCAUUGCACCGCGCCGGACCGCCGCUCCUCCACCGUGGACGGUGGACGGUGGUCGGAGAGGUGCAAAACGGUCCCUUUUGCCCUCGUUUUGACCAGAUCUAGAGGCCUAGCCUCUUGUUCGCGACAAAAACCGAAUAAAAUAAGACUCUUCGGUCCCUUUACCUAGUCGACGCAGUCGUCAAAGCCAAGGCCAAACCUUAAAAGGUUUUGGGGCCCUCGGCGCCGCGAAACACCCUCGGCGACGGAGGAGCGUGGGGCUACUCAGGUAAGUUUAUUUCUUUUCCUUUUUUAUUAAAAGAUUUGUGUUAAAAAAAUAACAAUAAAAGAAAUAAGAAAUGAAAAUAGAUAAUGAAAAUAUUAAAACCUCUUGAAACUUCUGUUAUGUUUUUUGAUUAAUAGUGUGUGUAAAAAAAUAACAAAGGGGAGAUUUCGACUUUUAAAGUCAUUUACAAGACGAAUCCAUCCUAUUUUUUUGUCGUUUUCUUCCUUGUCCUUGUUGUCUUUACUUCUUCUGCAGGUGUUAGAGGCGUGGGUGAGUGGUGGUGGCGUGCGAGAAAGGUUCUGCGCGAGAUGGCCAAUGGUUGGCCUAACAUGCGGCGGCUGAAGGCUUGGUGGCUAGGGUUUUUUUAUGUUUGCUGAAAAUGUUGAUAGCUAGUGGGCUAGGGUUAGUUUGGGCUUGUUGGGUUUGAAAUGGGUUUUAAUUGUUUGGGUUAUACAUAUGUUGUAAAUGGACUUAAAAAAUUGGACUUUAAUUGUUUAUUUGGGUUUUAUUUUUGUUUUAUUGGCCUGGGCCAAAAUUGGCUAUUACACAAAUCUUUGAAAAAAUUAGGAUUGAUUGUAUUUAUAUUCUUGAAUUUCAUGAAUAUUGAUUAGAAAUAUUUAACAUUUUUGUUUAGAAAUUGUUGCUGC
This 1045-nucleotide long non-coding RNA is filed under the name Gossypium barbadense (sea-island cotton). RNAcentral describes it as "long non-coding RNA (GBAR_LNC004132)". Lineage: Eukaryota; Viridiplantae; Streptophyta; Magnoliopsida; Malvales; Malvaceae. The record is from RNAcentral.